This is a non-coding RNA of Pimephales promelas (fathead minnow), 523 nucleotides long. Lineage: Eukaryota; Metazoa; Chordata; Actinopteri; Cypriniformes; Leuciscidae. The record is from RefSeq and is a predicted model, not a curated record.
CUUUUUAGUCCUGGAUUCUCUGCCAAAUACUGCACAUACAGUAUGAUGGACGAUGUCAACAAAAAAGUUGUCCACUUCCAGUUGGUGCAGGUUACUGAAGCAACUAGCUCUGUAGCCAACCAGUAGCCUUCAAAAGGUGUGUAGACUUUAUUUUGGACGUGAUCACCACAGACAGGCCCCCCUCAAUCAGAUUACCCUCGUAUACAACACGAGUUCGACAUCUGGCAUGUUGUAAAGGGGUUCUUCAAAAAAAUUGCUGUCACUUACAAAACAAAAAGAGAAUCAAGACCUCCAGCCUUGGAUAAAAAGUAUAUGCAACCAUUAGUGGUAUGCAUGUGCGUCCUGUGGCGGUAACCCCAAUAUGGACGGCAAAAAGAAUGUGAUCACAAUGACCUAAGUCCUGACCAACAACGACGAAAACAUUGGCUGAAAAGGGAAUCUCCUUCAUUUCGCACUCUGUCAACACUAGUAUUAAAUCCAAGACUCCUGAAGGACCUGAGACAAAUGGCCUCAUUCAAGCAUA